This is a long non-coding RNA of Neofelis nebulosa (Clouded leopard), 1111 nucleotides long. RefSeq lists it as uncharacterized. The record is from RefSeq and is a predicted model, not a curated record. Lineage: Eukaryota; Metazoa; Chordata; Mammalia; Carnivora; Felidae. The transcript has 3 exons.
CACCAGCUUCCCCAGGGACGGGCAGCCCUCCAGGGUCUUCUCCUUGCCUGAGGUUGAGCACAAGCCCCUUUUGGGAGGCUGAACUUGGGUGAGACAGCAGGGCUCGGUGAUGGUAGGAAAAGGCACUGUGGGCUCCACUGAGCUGCCCUUUGGGCCUUUCCUUGGAUUAAGAGGGUAGAAAGAGAAAAGAACUGGGAAGCUCGUGAGUGAGAUACUCCAGUGUCACCAACUACCAGGCUCCAGCAGACCCUUGUGACAUCCCUGGCUCCCUCUCUCUUCCCUCACUCAACUGGUUUCUGGAGGGUAAGGCUGAGGCCAGAGUGGAAGGGACUUUACUGAGGUCACGAAGCAGGGUAGGCUGGAGAGUGACCCGGAGCAUUCCUGACCCCCAGCAGGUGCAUGUGUCCACCUCAAUGUCCUUCCUCAAACCGGCUCUCAAGAAGGGCUUUGAGAUCUGCCCUGUCAUUGUGGUUUGGGGGACAUGCCCUGGGGUGGGCCGCUGGCCUGGGACGGUGAUCAGGAUGGGCAGAUCCCAGGCUAAGCUUCAGCCACGGAAAGACACAUCGGCUGAACUCUGCUUACAAAGAACAACGUGUCAGACUGAGCAGGUGUUGGGGACAGCCAUGACCGACCGGUUCCUGCUCUCAGAUCUUCCGCUCACUGGCUGCGUAGCCUGGGGACAGACACCAUCCACCUCUUCCCUUUCACAGCUCCAUCGAGCGGGUUUCAUUCACGCCAUUUUGGAGCUGAGGAGAUGCGUCCAGAGAGGUGGAGCGGUGGGGGUGUGAGGCUACGCGGCAAGGUGGCAGAAGCAGUGUUGAAACCCAAACAAAUCAAGGGACCCUGCAUCGUGUGCCAUGACUAGUUUCACUGAUGGGAGAAGGAUUUCAUCUUCUGAAGAGGUAUUUAGGAAGAACGUGCUGGAAAAGUGGGCUGGAGCCAUCUGUUCAUUUAUGCAUCCAUCAAACAUUUUUCAAGCACCUGCUCUGACGUGCCAGACCGUGACUGCGGUGCCGGAAUGAGAGUUGGGAUCCAAAUCGACAGCCUCCCUCUUCGCCUGGAGCUUACUUUGAGAACAGAGAUGGUAACUAAAUGCCUGACGUCAUUUCCA